RNAcentral lists this ribosomal RNA (467 nucleotides) under uncultured bacterium. Its description in RNAcentral is "partial 16S ribosomal RNA". It matches the Rfam family "Bacterial small subunit ribosomal RNA", at positions 28 to 507 of the family's 1533-position model. The record is from RNAcentral.
GACGAACGCUGGCGGCGUGCUUAACACAUGCAAGUCGAACGGUGAAGCAGAGCUUGCUCUGUGGAUCAGUGGCGAACGGGUGAGUAACACGUGAGUAACCUGCCCUUGACUCUGGGAUAAGCGUUGGAAACGACGUCCAAUACCGGAUACGAGCUGAGACCGCAUGGUCAUCAGUUGGAAAGAUUUUUUGGUCAAGGAUGGACUCGCGGCCUAUCAGCUUGUUGGUGAGGUAAUGGCUCACCAAGGCGACGACGGGUAGCCGGCCUGAGAGGGUGACCGGCCACACUGGGACUGAGACACGGCCCAGACUCCUACGGGAGGCAGCAGUGGGGAAUAUUGCACAAUGGGCGCAAGCCUGAUGCAGCAACGCCGCGUGAGGGAUGACGGCCUUCGGGUUGUAAACCUCUUUUAGUAGGGAAGAAGCGAAAGUGACGGUACCUGCAGAAAAAGCACCGGCUAACUACGUG